This 407-nucleotide ribosomal RNA is filed under the name bacterium. RNAcentral describes it as "partial 16S ribosomal RNA". It matches the Rfam family "Bacterial small subunit ribosomal RNA", at positions 355 to 776 of the family's 1533-position model. The record is from RNAcentral.
UGGGGAAUAUUGGACAAUGGACCGAGAGUCUGAUCCAGCAAUUCUGUGUGCACGAUGAAGUUUUUCGGAAUGUAAAGUGCUUUCAGUUGGGAAGAAAAAAAUGACGGUACCAACAGAAGAAGUGACGGCUAAAUACGUGCCAGCAGCCGCGGUAAUACGUAUGUCACAAGCGUUAUCCGGAUUUAUUGGGCGUAAAGCGCGUCUAGGUGGUUAUGUAAGUCUGAUGUGAAAAUGCAGGGCUCAACUCUGUAUUGCGUUGGAAACUGUAUAACUAGAGUACUGGAGAGGUAAGCGGAACUACAAGUGUAGAGGUGAAAUUCGUAGAUAUUUGUAGGAAUGUCGAUGGGGAAGCCAGCUUACUGGACAGAUACUGACGCUAAAGCGCGAAAGCGUGGGUAGCAAACAGG